AACGAAUGCUGGCGGCAGGCCUUACACAUGCAAGUCGAACGUGAAAGUCCUUCGGGAUGAGUAAAGUGGCGCACGGGUGAGUAACGCGUGGGAACAUGCCCUUCAGUACGGGAUAACAGCGGGAAACUGCUGCUAAUACCGUAUAUUCCCUACGGGGGAAAGAUUUAUCGCUGAAGGAUUGGCCCGCGUUAGAUUAGCUAGUUGGUGAGGUAAUGGCUCACCAAGGCUACGAUCUAUAGCCGGUCUGAGAGGACGAUCGGCCACACUGGAACUGAGACACGGUCCAGACUCCUACGGGAGGCAGCAGUGGGGAAUAUUGGACAAUGGGCGAAAGCCUGAUCCAGCCAUGCCGCGUGAGUGAUGAAGGCCUUAGGGUUGUAAAGCUCUUUUGGCGGGGAAGAUAAUGACGGUACCCGCAGAAUAAGCCCCGGCAAACUUCGUGCCAGCCGCCGCCGUAA
Molecule: ribosomal RNA, 458 nt
Filed under: uncultured bacterium
Lineage: Bacteria
Description: partial 16S ribosomal RNA
Rfam family: Bacterial small subunit ribosomal RNA
Source: RNAcentral